Molecule: long non-coding RNA, 361 nt
Filed under: Marmota monax (woodchuck)
Lineage: Eukaryota; Metazoa; Chordata; Mammalia; Rodentia; Sciuridae
Source: RNAcentral
CUCUUUUGUCUCAGCCCGCAGAGGAUAAAAGCAGCCGCAGCUGCCUCGGGAACUGCGCUGCGGCGUCUCGGCUUCCCCUCGUUGGGUGGCCGUGCGAGGCAGUUCUAUCGGGCAUCUCUGGGCCGCUUAGCUGCGGAAGAGGCGCUCGUCUUUUUCCUUUACAGGGCUGCGGAGAUUGGAAGGCGGAAUCCAUAGCUGUGGACGCCGGAGCACACCGUUAGCAGCGGGUUGCAGGUAAAAUACAUGGGGGCAAGAUUCCCUCUUUCGAAGAGGGGUGGGGGACAUCGUCCCCAGUACUGGGCGGCUCCCAGUGUGGAGAAUUGGUAACUUCGAGGCAGGGGAAGGAGCACCCAAGGCCCGG